Molecule: unclassified non-coding RNA, 215 nt
Filed under: uncultured fungus
Lineage: Eukaryota; Fungi
Description: sequence contains ITS1
Source: RNAcentral
GUAUUUGUUAUAAUAUAUAUAAUUUCAGUCAAAUAUAUUUUAGACAUGUUUAUACAAAUAAAAUUGGCAGGCCGAGCAGACAAAGUCUAAACCCACGGCAGAGAGCCUAACCUGCCAACAAACACUUCAGUGAUUCACACAAGGUGGAUAUGGAUAUAAUUAUCCAUUAAAGUGGACAAUUGUUAAUGAUCCUUCCGCAGGUUCACCUACGGAAA